GGAAAGGUGGCUGAGAGGUUGAAGGCACCACUCUCGAAAAGUGGCAGGGGUGAAAGCUCCUCGAGGGUUCAAAUCCCUCCCUUUCCG
This 87-nucleotide transfer RNA is filed under the name Patescibacteria group bacterium. RNAcentral's name for it is "tRNA-Ser". It matches the Rfam family "tRNA". Rfam says of the family: Transfer RNA (tRNA) molecules are approximately 80 nucleotides in length. The record is from RNAcentral.